AUGGAGAGAAUUUUAAUUGGUGAUAUGCGUGACGGUGCCGCUGAUCUAGUUCAGAUCUCGGUUCGUCUGUGGAACAACAUGAAGCGUUUCAAAACUAUGCAAGACUCUCGCUGCAAGCCAUAUGAAGAAAGUGCAAAUGUUGUUAUCAAGCAGAUUGAGCAGGAUGAGGCUGCUGCCACCGACAGUAGGGCUGGUGAUGGUACUGAGGCUAAUGUUUCUGAUGACGAAAUGAAUGAUGUUGGCUUGGAGCGUCCUGUCGUUGAUAUUGAGCAGGAUGAGGCUGCUGCCACCGACAGCAGGGCUGAUGAUGGUACUGAGGCUAAUGUUUUUGAUCACCAUACGAAUGAUGUUAGCUUGGAGCACGCUGUUGUUGAUGAGACCAGUCAUAAUGUUGACGCUGCUAUUGACCAUGGAGUUAAUGAUCCAUCUACUGAUAAGUGCAAGGGUCCUCUUGUUGGCGACAAGCCUUGUUUUCCCGUUGGUGAUGUAGCUUUGAAUGUUAGCAGCAACAAGAUCGAUGAUGUUGCUAUGAAUGCUUCUAAGAUGAUGUUCGUGGUGUUCCAUUGA
Molecule: ribosomal RNA, 567 nt
Filed under: Triticum aestivum (bread wheat)
Lineage: Eukaryota; Viridiplantae; Streptophyta; Magnoliopsida; Poales; Poaceae
Description: partial small subunit ribosomal RNA
Source: RNAcentral